AACGAACGCUGGCGGCAGGCUUAACACAUGCAAGUCGAACGAGAUCUUCGGAUCUAGUGGCAGACGGGUGAGGAACACGUGGGAACAUCCCUUUCAGUUCGGAAUAACGUUGGGAAACUAACGCUAAUACCGGAUACGUCCUUCGGGAGAAAGAUUUAUCGCUGAAAGAUUGGCCCGCGUCUGAUUAGCUAGUUGGUGAGGUAAUGGCUCACCAAGGCUACGAUCAGUAGCUGAUCUGAGAGGAUGAUCAGCCACAUUGGGACUGAGACACGGCCCAAACUCCUACGGGAGGCAGCAGUGGGGAAUAUUGGACAGUGGGCGCAAGCCUGAUCCAGCCAUGCUGCGUGAGUGAUGACGGCCUUCGGGUUGUAAAGCUCUUUUGUCCGGGAAGAUAAUGACUGUACCGGAAGAAUAAGCCCCGGCAAACUUCGUGCCAGCCGCCGCGGUAA
Molecule: ribosomal RNA, 449 nt
Filed under: uncultured bacterium
Lineage: Bacteria
Description: partial 16S ribosomal RNA
Rfam family: Bacterial small subunit ribosomal RNA
Source: RNAcentral